UGAAAUGCGACACUAGCUCAGUUGGUAGAGCGCAACCUUGCCAAGGUUGAGGUCACGAGUUCGAACCUCGUGUGUC
Molecule: transfer RNA, 76 nt
Filed under: Vibrio cholerae O395
Lineage: Bacteria; Pseudomonadati; Pseudomonadota; Gammaproteobacteria; Vibrionales; Vibrionaceae
Description: tRNA-Gly
Rfam family: tRNA
About the family: Transfer RNA (tRNA) molecules are approximately 80 nucleotides in length.
Source: RNAcentral